Passer domesticus (house sparrow) is the source of this 364-nucleotide long non-coding RNA. RefSeq lists it as uncharacterized. The transcript has 2 exons. NCBI's taxonomy places the organism in Eukaryota, Metazoa, Chordata, Aves, Passeriformes, Passeridae. The record is from RefSeq and is a predicted model, not a curated record.
UAGCACCUCAGCCCGGCUCUGCUGUCCAAAGGUCGACCCUAAGCUUGCGCCCCUGAAUAUUCCCAUUCCAGGGUGGUUUAUAAGCAAUAUCCUCAGAAGUCUGAGCCAGGUUUCUCUACCAGAGGUAAGCCUUGGAUUCUUGAAACACAAUCAGCUGAAAUCCUGUGUGUGAGGGAGGAAAAGCUGUAUGAAGGAGAUACAUUCAUAAAACAUCUAUCUAUCUAUCUAUCUAUCUAUCUAUCUAUCUAUCUAUCUAUCUAUCUAUAUGCAUAUAUAUGUAAUGGAACUUGCAAGGCACUUAUUUUGAAUUCAGAGAGAAGCUGCAUGUAUUCAGUGCUGCGUGUAAUAAAAUUGUCUUUCCAUA